This 253-nucleotide ribosomal RNA is filed under the name uncultured bacterium. Its description in RNAcentral is "partial 16S ribosomal RNA". It matches the Rfam family "Bacterial small subunit ribosomal RNA", at positions 524 to 776 of the family's 1533-position model. The record is from RNAcentral.
UACGUAGGGGGCUAGCGUUGUCCGGAAUCAUUGGGCGUAAAGAGCGUGUAGGCGGCCCGGUAAGUCCGCUGUGAAAGUCGGGGGCUCAACCCUCGGAUGCCGGUGGAUACUGUCGGGCUCGAGUACGGAAGAGGCGAGUGGAAUUCCUGGUGUAGCGGUGAAAUGCGCAGAUAUCAGGAGGAACACCAAUUGCGAAGGCAGCUCGCUGGGACGUUACUGACGCUGAGACGCGGAAGCGUGGGGAGCAAACAGG